GCGUGAAUAACCUGCCUUUGAGAAGGGGAUAACUAUCCGAAAGGAUAGCUAAUACCCUAUAUUGCCUUUUGUCACUAAGGCAAAAGGUGAAAGCGAGGCUGUCAAAGGCUUCGGCUCAAAGAGGGGUUCGCGUCCUAUCAGGUAGUUGGUGGGGUAAUGGCCUACCAAGCCAAUGACGGGUAGCUGGUCUUAGAGGACGAUCAGCCACAGCGGGACUGAGACACGGCCCGCACCCCUACGGGGGGCAGCAGUGGGGAAUCGUGGGCAAUGGGCGCAAGCCUGACCCCGCAAUGCCGCGUGAGGGAAGAAGCCCUUCGGGGUGUAAACCUCUGUCAGAUGGGAAGAUGGGACUAGGGGCUAAUACCUCCUAGUCUUGACGGUACCAUCAGAGGAAGGGACGGCUAACUACGUGCCAGCAGCCGCGGUAAUACGUAGGUCCCGAGCGUUGCGCGAUGUUACUGGGCGUAAAGCGUCCGUAGCCGGUUUCGUAAGCGGAUUGUCAAAGCCCGAAGCUCAACUUCGGCAAGGCAUUCCGAACUGCGUUACUUGAGUCCUGUUCAGGUAGGCGGAAUUCCCGGUGUAGCGGUGAAAUGCGUAGAUAUCGGGAGGAACACCAGUGGCGAAGGCGGCCUACUGGGACGGUACUGACGGUCAUGGACGAAAGCUGGGGGAGCAACCCGGAUUAGAUACCCGGGUAGUCCCAGCCGUAAACGGUGGAUGUUAGGUGUAGUGAUAACUUCGCUGCACCCCAGCUAACGCGUUAAACAUCCCGCCUGGGGAGUACGGGCGCAAGCCUGAAACUCAAAGGAAUUGGCGGGGGCCCGCACAACCGGUGGAGCGUCUGGUUUAAUUCGAUGCUAACCGAAAAACCUUACCAGGGUUUGAAAUGGUAGGAAAGGCUGUCGAAAGAUAGCUGUGUCUCCCUUUUGGGAGAAACCCUACCACAGGUGGUGCGUGGCCGUCGUCAGCUCGUGUUGUGAGAUGUUGGGUUAAGUCCCGCAACGAGCGCAACCCUUGUCCUUAUUUGCUUCCUCGUAUGAGGUGCUCUAUAAGGAGACUGCCGGCGACAAGCCGGAGGAAGGAGGGGACGACGUUAGGUCAGUAUGCCCUUUAUGCCCUGGGCUACACAGGCGCUACAGUGGCAAGGACAAUGAGUAGCGAGAGCGCAAGCUCGAGC
RNAcentral lists this ribosomal RNA (1177 nucleotides) under uncultured Hydrogenobaculum sp. RNAcentral describes it as "bacterial SSU rRNA". It matches the Rfam family "Bacterial small subunit ribosomal RNA", at positions 115 to 1268 of the family's 1533-position model. The record is from RNAcentral. Lineage: Bacteria; Pseudomonadati; Aquificota; Aquificia; Aquificales; Aquificaceae.